RNAcentral lists this unclassified non-coding RNA (141 nucleotides) under uncultured Hyaloscypha. RNAcentral describes it as "sequence contains ITS2". Lineage: Eukaryota; Fungi; Ascomycota; Leotiomycetes; Helotiales; Hyaloscyphaceae. The record is from RNAcentral.
UAACCACUCAAGCCUAGCUUGGUAUUGGGGUUCGCGUGCUCGCGGCCCUUAAAAUCAGUGGCGGUGCCGUCUGGCUCUAAGCGUAGUAAUUCUCUCGCUAUAGAGUCCCGGCGGUUACCUGCCAGAACCCCCCACUUUUAA